Molecule: ribosomal RNA, 497 nt
Filed under: uncultured bacterium
Lineage: Bacteria
Description: partial 16S ribosomal RNA
Rfam family: Bacterial small subunit ribosomal RNA
Source: RNAcentral
GAUGAACGCUGGCGGCGUGCCUAAUACAUGCAAGUCGAGCGAACAGAUGAGGAGCUUGCUCCUCUGACGUUAGCGGCGGACGGGUGAGUAACACGUGGAUAACCUACCUAUAAGACUGGGAUAACUUCGGGAAACCGGAGCUAAUACCGGAUAAUAUAUUGAACCGCAUGGUUCAAUAGUGAAAGACGGCUUUGCUGUCACUUAUAGAUGGAUCCGCGCCGCAUUAGCUAGUUGGUAAGGUAACGGCUUACCAAGGCAACGAUGCGUAGCCGACCUGAGAGGGUGAUCGGCCACACUGGAACUGAGACGCGGUCCAGACUCCUACGGGAGGCAGCAGUAGGGAAUCUGCCGCAAUGGGCGAAAGCCUGACGGAGCAACGCCGCGUGAGUGAUGAAGGUCUUCGGAUCGUAAAACUCUGUUAUUAGGGAAGAACAAAUGUGUAAGUAACUAUGCACGUCUUGACGGUACCUAAUCAGAAAGCCACGGCUAACUACGUG